GAUGAACGCUGGCGGCGUGCUUAACACAUGCAAGUCGAACGGAGAGGCCCUGCUUUUGUGUGGUGCUCGAGUGGCGAACGGGUGAGUAACACGUGAGUAAUCUGCCCCUGACUUUGGGAUAAGUUCAGGAAACUGGGGCUAAUACCGGAUACGAGCUCCUGCUGCAUGGUGAGCAGUGGGAAAUUUCGUCGGUUAGGGAUGAGCUCGCGGCUUAUCAGCUUGUUGGUGGGGUAGUGGCUCACCAAGGCGUUGACGGGUAGCCGGCCUGAGAGGGUGACCGGCCACAUUGGGACUGAGAUACGGCCCAGACUCCUACGGGAGGCAGCAGUGGGGAAUAUUGCACAAUGGGCGGAAGCCUGAUGCAGCAACGCCGCGUGCGGGAUGACGGCCUUCGGGUUGUAAACCUCUUUCGGCAGGGAAGAAGCGAGAGUGACGGUAACUGCAGAAGAAGCGCCGGCUAACUACGUG
This 468-nucleotide ribosomal RNA is filed under the name uncultured bacterium. RNAcentral's name for it is "partial 16S ribosomal RNA". It matches the Rfam family "Bacterial small subunit ribosomal RNA", at positions 28 to 507 of the family's 1533-position model. The record is from RNAcentral.